Molecule: long non-coding RNA, 2092 nt
Organism: Myotis lucifugus (little brown bat)
Lineage: Eukaryota; Metazoa; Chordata; Mammalia; Chiroptera; Vespertilionidae
Exons: 4
Source: RefSeq, a predicted model, not a curated record
UCUAGAGGAAGUUUUAAUUAAAUGUCAACUCCCCGAAAAGCACUCCAGGAAACUCGAAGUGUUGGAAACAAUACCUAUCUAUCUAUCAUCUAUCAUUUAUCAAGGUAGAUAGAUAGAUUGCACAAGGACGUGGAGAUGUGCCACCCAGCUCAGCCAGGUUCGCUGACCCUGAGAGGGAGCGGGGAAGGAUGGAGAAAAGACAGAUAAGAGAAGAAGUCUGGGUGGGACGCUGUCCUCUCUGAUGGAGAGCUAACGACAGCAUCAGGGACUACAAGCCGUGUCUUUAUUUCAUAGCCAGAUUCCAGGAAGGAAAGUAAGGGCGUGGUCAAGAUGUUUACAAGAUUCUGGUGAGUUUCGAUUCUACUCAGUUAUAUGCACCUGAACUCUAUCAAGCCCAAAUCACUCAGCCACGUGGGACCACGUGUUGGGACCAUAGGUUCAAGCUCACAACCAUAGCUGUUGGCUAUAACUGUGCUGGGAGGGCCCUGCCCUCCAGGCUGGGACCUGCACUGGCCAUGACAGGACUGUGCCCUCUCCUCAGUCCAGGCUUGAACCUGUCCAGACGCUGUCGCCGCUCUCCACAGAGAUUGUCUUGCGUUAUCCUGGGAUCCUGGAGGCUCUGACCACUUGACUAUUAGGCAGCCCAGGCAGUCCAGUGCCCUGUAUUUCUGAGAGCCGUGGAGGGGUUUUAUUGUCGUUCUUUACAUCGUUCAGAUUAAGCAGAUGGGUCUUGUCAAACAAACAAACAAAAAAACAGUCGCAGUUAAGAAUAGAAAUGUAUUGCUUUUUAUCUGAACCCUGCUGUUUCUGUUUACUCACAGAUUUGAAUCGGGUCUUCAUUGAAGGCCCCAAAUAAUGCAAGAUGCCUUGUUUUCUGUCGACUCAGGUAGACUCUGAAGGCACCGGUGGGUUUUCUUCAGCCUGGGAAGUGAUCUGCAGGCAGAGAAGACAGGCGGCUAGAAACCAGAAGUGAGGCAAGGCAGUGGUGCAGAAUACGGAGGGUACUCCCUCAGGAACCUAGAGCAAGCCCUUGUUUAUACUGAGAGGGCAAAGCAACAACUUCAAACUCUGAUGGAAAAUGAGUAGCAAAGAGUUCUGAAGAAUUCCUCAAGACGCCUCCUGAGAAAAUUCAGCAGCUGCAACUGCCUUCAGUUGCUUUGUUCUGCUUGAGAACACGGAGGCUGUGUCUUCACUAGCGAACUGCAGCCCAGGUAAAUCCAGAACUUGCCUGGGGAGAGAGCAGGAAUCUUACAUAGAGUGUCCUAUCAGACUGCAGCUGACGAAGUUCCUUCUCUUCUCUCAACGUCAAGUUCUCAAGCUGAGCCGAAGAUUCAGAGAAAAGGCCCCUCAUCUGGUCCUUCAGUGGCUGGUGCUGGCAUGGAAAACCCUGCUGCACCUGUUUGCAGUUCUUCCAGGUAGCGUUCAGUGACUCGAGAGGAUCUCUCUCCUCACUCAGGGCCGAACAGCAGUAGAAACAUUUCAAGAUUUUAUCAACGUGAUUUUUCCAAAACCCAAGAAUCUUGUUACUUUGGAGUCAAAACAUUUCUCCCAGGCCUCAGAUACCUGUUCAACUAGAUCAUGUGAUGAAGUGUUUGCUAAAUAGUUUCUGCUGAUCUUCUUUAUCUUCCAAAAAAUCCGGCUUACUGUUUUCUCAAAAGUGUGCAAGUCACCUGUCAGUUCCAACACCAGGUUCAGAGCUCUUCCUUUGCUAAGCCCCCAGAUUUCCCUGUGCCCUUUUCCAGGUUUCCACAGGUUUCAGAGCAUCCUCAAGUGAAGUGGCCUUCGUUUAAGUGCAGUGUGCCAGUUUGUAAACCGCUCAGAACUUUGCGUUUCAUCCCCAUGAGGUUUUUCCUUUAGGCCUCUCUGAAGAAAGUGUGUUGUGACCUUGUCAGGCUUUCUUUCCAGGGGAGGUGAGACUUCUUAUGGAGCCGUCCAUGGCCAGGACACCUCAGCACAGACUGUGAACACAGUUCCUUCAAGACAGAACUUUUGGUCCCAGAAGGGAAAAUACUAAAGGUAUCAUGCUCUUUGCUUGUUCCAGGGGGAUCUUUACCGCAGGCGAGUAAAGAUUUAUCACCAUUUACAAAUCUUA